This 260-nucleotide ribosomal RNA is filed under the name uncultured prokaryote. Its description in RNAcentral is "partial 16S ribosomal RNA". It matches the Rfam family "Bacterial small subunit ribosomal RNA", at positions 524 to 782 of the family's 1533-position model. The record is from RNAcentral.
UACGGAGGAUCCGAGCGUUAUCCGGAAUUAUUGGGUUUAAAGGGUGCGUAGGCGGCCAUUUAAGUCAGCGGUGAAAUUUUGCAGCUUAACUGUAACAGUGCCGUUGAUACUGUUUGGCUAGGAUUUGGUUGUAGUGUGCGGAAUGUGUGGUGUAGCGGUGAAAUGCUUAGAUAUCACACAGAACACCGAUUGCGAAGGCAGCACACUAAGUCAUUAUUGACGCUGAGGCACGAAAGUGUGGGGAGUCAAACAGGAUUAGA